This 621-nucleotide long non-coding RNA is filed under the name Cercocebus atys (sooty mangabey). RNAcentral describes it as "lncRNA (ENSCATG00000045632.1)". Lineage: Eukaryota; Metazoa; Chordata; Mammalia; Primates; Cercopithecidae. The record is from RNAcentral.
GUUUAAGUGAGUUAAUCUAAUGAACCAAGUCAUGGGCGAAGCAUGUAAUGUGCAUUAUCUAAUUUAUUCCUCACAAUAAUCACGUAAGUAUUAAUUAGUGUAUUCAUAUAUGUUAUUACCUAUAAUCAGAUUAUUAAAUUAUUUGUCCAAGGUCACUAGCUAGUAAGUGGUGCUAGGAUUUGAAUCUGGCAAUAUCUAUUACCAAAGCCUUUGUGCUGAAGUCAUAUGCUGUAUAGAAAGGUAAUGUCUAGGUCCUCCCACCUAAUGUGAUGAUGAUGAUUAUUAUUAUGAUAGAAAACCCUUGUGCAACAUUAACCAGGUGCCAUGGAUUUGUUUUAUAUCAUUCUCGGUAUAGAUACUAACAUUUAUUACUAUAUACCCAUUUUACAGAGAAGAAACAGAGGAAACUCAUUUUACAGAUGCAGCAACGGAACUGAAGUAGCAAGAAAAUGGCAGACCCUGGAUUCAAACCAAGGUCUUCUGAGUCCUUAUACAAAGCUUCCAUUUUUAGAAAUAAGAUGUUGAAGGCAAGUUUCCAACCAGUCCUGCUUUCCCUGUACACAGGAUAGUGACUGUAAAUGUCAUCUGGCUCCAUCCAUUUAUUGUGCUAUUGACUGGGUA